ACCAACAGGGAUUGCCCUAGUAACGGCGAGUBAAGCGGCAACAGCUCAAAUUUGAAAUCUGGCUCUUUUAGAGUCCGAGUUGUAAUUUGCAGAGGGCGCUUUGGCUUUGGCAGCGGUCCAAGUUCCUUGGAACAGGACGUCACAGAGGGUGAGAAUCCCGUACGUGGUCGCUAGCUAUUGCCGUGUAAAGCCCCUUCGACGAGUCGAGUUGUUUGGGAAUGCAGCUCUAAAUGGGAGGUAAAUUUCUUCUAAAGCUAAAUAUUGGCCAGAGACCGAUAGCGCACAAGUAGAGUGAUCGAAAGAUGAAAAGCACUUUGGAAAGAGAGUCAAACAGCACGUGAAAUUGUUGAAAGGGAAGCGCUUGCAGCCAGACUUGCUUGCAGUUGCUCAUCCGGGCUUUUGCCCGGUGCACUCUUCUGCAGGCAGGCCAGCAUCAGUUUGGGCGGUGGGAUAAAGGUCUCUGUCACGUACCUUCCUUCGGGUUGGCCAUAUAGGGGAGACGUCAUACCACCAGCCUGGACUGAGGUCCGCGCAUCUGCUAGGAUGCUGGCGUAAUGGCUGUAAGCGGCCCGUCUUGAAACACGGACCAAGGAGUCU
RNAcentral lists this ribosomal RNA (597 nucleotides) under Curvularia australiensis. RNAcentral describes it as "LSU rRNA". It matches the Rfam family "Eukaryotic large subunit ribosomal RNA", at positions 64 to 676 of the family's 3401-position model. Lineage: Eukaryota; Fungi; Ascomycota; Dothideomycetes; Pleosporales; Pleosporaceae. The record is from RNAcentral.